This 822-nucleotide long non-coding RNA is filed under the name Danio rerio (zebrafish). Its description in RNAcentral is "lncRNA si:ch211-220l16.2 (ENSDARG00000096293.3)". Lineage: Eukaryota; Metazoa; Chordata; Actinopteri; Cypriniformes; Danionidae. The record is from RNAcentral.
ACUACAGCGGCCCGCAACGACGAAAAACAGCCAUAUGGCGUCUCUACUGGAAGUUUGCUGUUGCCAUUCAAGAAUAUGCUUCUUAAAUACAACUGCAGUAAGCCAAAAGUGAUGGGCGGAUAAUGUUUGAAGCGAUUGGGGGAAUUGGACGAACAUGAUAGCUGCAUUCGCACCCCUUCAGGCAGGAUCCCCAGGGAACACACUCCGCUACAGUUUUCUCUCCCCCCCCCCAUCCACUCCACAGCUCGGAGAUGCACGGAGACGAUAACACACUCUGUGCAUAAAGUGAAGUGUGGAGCUGCAGCAGCGGUUUGGCGGAGCCUCUGGAAGGAUUGGAGGAAGCUGCUGAGAAAAGCAGGAACGAUAGCAGACGAAGAGGAUCUGUAGGCAGGACUCAAUCCCAUGUCUACAGGAUUGAGGAGAUGCUGUGAUGUGUCCGCGGUUGUAGUGGGCUCAUGCUGAGCGGGGAGAUUGAAGAGGGAUACUCCAGAGCACACCCUCCACGAGCGAGGGAGAAAAGAGAGAUCUGUGAUGUGGUGAGAUGAAGGAGACGGAGGUAUAGAUGAUGUGGUGCAGCGGGUGGGGACAGUCUCGUAAGCUGGAUGAUCACAGCCACACCAGCCCCCCUCGUCUGCAGCAUCACUCCAAAACAUCCCUAACAGAUCAAUCCAUUACUUACUGAAACACACCGUGGCCUGUCUGUGAUUUUUGUCUGCUUGUCACGGUGAGAGAAUGCAAGUUGCUCUACAGUUCUUAAGACAAGUAGAUGUUGCAGGAAAACAAGAAGUAAUAAUACAUUAUAUAUCAACACAAUGUGAAAAG